GAGGAAACUUGUGCUAAUACCGGAUAAGUCUUUACGGAGAAAGCUUUAUGCACCAUUGGAUGAGCCCGCACUUGAUUAGUUUGUUGGUAGGGUAAUGGCCUACCAAGACUAUGAUUAAUAGCUGAUUUGAGAGGAUGAUCAGCCACAUUGGGACUGAGACACGGCCCAAACUCCUACGGGAGGCAGCAGUGGGGAAUCUUGCACAAUGGAGGAAACUCUGAUGCAGCGAUGCCGCGUGAGUGAAGAAGGCCUUUGGGUUGUAAAGCUCUUUCGUCGGGGAAGAAAAUGACUGUACCCGAAUAAGAAGGUCCGGCUAACUUCGUGCCAGCAGCCGCGGUAAUACGAAGGGACCUAGCGUAGUUCGGAAUUACUGGGCUUAAAGAGUUCGUAGGUGGUUGAAAAAGUUGGUGGUGAAAUCCCAGAGCUUAACUCUGGAACUGCCAUCAAAACUUUUCAGCUAGAGUAUGAUA
RNAcentral lists this ribosomal RNA (470 nucleotides) under uncultured Pelagibacterales bacterium. RNAcentral's name for it is "bacterial SSU rRNA". It matches the Rfam family "Bacterial small subunit ribosomal RNA", at positions 150 to 653 of the family's 1533-position model. The record is from RNAcentral. Lineage: Bacteria; Pseudomonadati; Pseudomonadota; Alphaproteobacteria; Candidatus Pelagibacterales.